UUGGGCCUACGGGGGGCAGCAGUGAGGAAUAUUGGUCAAUGGUCGGGAGACUGAACCAGCCACGCCGCGUGAGGGAGGAAGGUACAGAGUAUCGUAACCCUCUUUUGUCAGGGAACAAAGGCGGGGACGUGUCCCCGGAUGAGUGUACCUGAAGAAAAAGCAUCGGCUAACUCCGUGCCAGCAGCCGCGGUAAUACGGAGGAUGCGAGCGUUAUUCGGAUUUAUUGGGUUUAAAGGGUGCGCAGGCGGCCUGUUAAGUCAGCGGUCAAAGCCCGGGGCUCAACCCCGGCCCGCCGUUGAAACUGG
RNAcentral lists this ribosomal RNA (305 nucleotides) under uncultured bacterium. RNAcentral's name for it is "bacterial SSU rRNA". It matches the Rfam family "Bacterial small subunit ribosomal RNA", at positions 333 to 636 of the family's 1533-position model. The record is from RNAcentral.